AUAAACCUGCCUUCUUACAUGCCCCCUGCAUAUGUAUAAGGAAAAUAUUUUCUGUAAUCAGGGGGCAUGUAAGGAGGCAGGUUUAU
Non-coding RNA from Pelobates cultripes (western spadefoot toad), 86 nucleotides. Lineage: Eukaryota; Metazoa; Chordata; Amphibia; Anura; Pelobatidae. The record is from the annotation of a GenBank genome assembly.